Molecule: small nuclear RNA, 192 nt
Organism: Tachyglossus aculeatus (Australian echidna)
Lineage: Eukaryota; Metazoa; Chordata; Mammalia; Monotremata; Tachyglossidae
Product: U2 spliceosomal RNA
Exons: 1
Source: RefSeq, a predicted model, not a curated record
GUACCAGCCUCGGCCUUUUGGCUAAGAUCAAGUGUAUUAUCUGUUCUUAUCAGUUUAAUAUCUGAUAUGUCCUUGAUGUGAGUAUGCUAUAUUAAGUGACAUUUUGGAGUAGGGAGGUGGGUUGGGAGCUUGCUCCAUCCCCUCCACGCAUCGGCCUGGUGUUGCAGUGUUUCCAGGGCGGGUGCUUUUCUA